This 2940-nucleotide unclassified non-coding RNA is filed under the name Leishmania donovani. RNAcentral's name for it is "gene:LdHU3.32.2060(CDS-product:PSP1_C-inal_conser ved_region_containing_protein_putative)". The record is from RNAcentral. Lineage: Eukaryota; Euglenozoa; Kinetoplastea; Trypanosomatida; Trypanosomatidae.
UGCAAAGGCACCAAAUAUAGUCGCUGGUCUCCCUGCGAUCAUCCGACAGCGAGCAAAGAAACGCCACAUCAACGCGCCACAAACAACCGCCAAGGCGAAGAGUACCAGCGAAACAGAACACAGGACAAACGCAACGCUAUCCCUCAGUGGCGCCCGCACGCUUUCGGCCGGAUGCUUGCGCGUACAUGUUCUGCGACCCAUCCCCUUCACACUGCGGGCCCUUUUGUUUUCUUGUGACCUUCCCGCCUACGCACCUGCAGAUUUUGCGCUCCUGCACUUCUUCUCCCUACCACACCCCUUUGAACCACAAGUUCUCAGCUGCUGUCGUGCCCUGCUCACGCGACAUUGCGUAGACAGAACAGACCAGCUGUUCCUAGACCUACGCCCGAGAGCUUUCGAUAUGGCCUCUGCGGCUGCGGGUACCUCUGCAGAUACCCAGGGCAUCUUCUGCACGCCUAUCGGCCGGCCGCAUCGAGCCACCGACACGGCGCCGCUCGCACCCGUCGACGAGUUACCGGUCAAGAGGGGAUGUAUGGGUCCCCUGGAGGUGCUCUCCGAAGUGAGAGCCGUGAACGGCUAUCUUCAGCUCCUCGCGGAGCAGCUGCACGGGUGGGCGGAGACGGGCCCCUCUGCAGUCACAUGUACCUCGCGAUCUCCAACCGUUACCAGCGCGGGGGGAUCGGGUGCGCACGGCUAUCCUGCAAAGCCUGGCGCAACGCAAGCUGCGCUGUCUUGGCGUCGGGCUUCGGAGCGCGACGCACUUUACCUCCUCCAAACAGUCAUGGAGAACACGCGACGUCUCGUCAUCCAGUCUCAGAAUGUGGUGUGCACUCUCUUGAGUCGAGACACCGUCACCAGCGGCGCCACCUCUGAUCAAGCCUCGUGCGGGAUAAGCUACUCAGAGUCUCCCUUUGAUGUCGCGAAGCGGAGCGUCGACGCGUGUGCAUACCCGCUCGAUACAGAAGAGCCUCGUGUGUCCCUCAUGCGUGUUAUGCAAGGCUCUCCUUUGCGUGUCGCACUGACACCCUCUCUUGCGCGAUCGGAUGUGCGGGACACGAGCAGAACUCCUGCGAGUGCUUCCGCCACCCAACCCCGGCUCUCCGAUGACGUCGCGGCGCAGCCGAGGCGGCGUCGGUGGCCGGUGUCGCAGUUCUGCUACAUGACGCAUGUGGAGUUCAAGCGCGGCCGGCUGCGUCGCUUUCUGAGCCCUGUGACCGUGAAGGCAGGCGCUUACGUCAUUGUGCCUGGCGACCGCGGGUACGACUGCGGGCUCGUGGUGCAAUGUGCUUUGUGGAAUCCUCACAAGCAGGCAUACGACGUGGAUACCAUUCAGUCGCUCGACCCCGGCGUGUUGCCGCCGGGAAACGCGGGGUCCAUCAUGGAGGUCAUCCGUGUUGCCACAGACGAGGAGGUGCACCGCCUGCAUCGCGAGCACGUCAGCAUGGAGCGGCUUGCGCUUACCACGUGUCGCGACAUUGCCGAUCGCCUGCACCUUUCCAUGGAGGUGCUCGACUGCGAGUACCAGUAUGACGGCACAAAGAUCAGUUUCUUCUUCGACUCUGCCGAGGUGAUUGACUUUCGAGAGCUCAACAAGGAGCUGUUCCGUGUCUUCAACGCGCGUAUCUGGAUGCAGAACACGAAUACGGCAGUGCGCAACGAGGCACCGCGAAAUGUGGUGCCGUCACGGCGAGCGCACCGUUUGCGCUUCGGCUUCCAAGGUACCUCGUCGGCGCACUAAGCACAUCCUCGAGAGUUCCGGCGUGCCUUUUUCGUCGCGCUCUGCGCGCGUCAUCGUUCCCUUUGUAAAGGAGGAGAAGCGUGCCUUGGGCGCAUCCUCCCCCCCCUCCUCGCUGCAUGGCCACCUCGCUACUCGUUGUGCCUUUUCCGAGUGCCUUGCGCUUUGUUGGCGUUUGCAGGCAGCGCGAAACCGCCUCCCUCUCCGCCUCUUCCGACCCCUUUGGCUAUAUUUAUUUAUUUAUAUAUAUAUUUAUCGAGAGAGAGAUUUUUUUUUCCGCCGCGCCAUGGCCUCGUGCACAAAGGUGAUACGGUCUCCUGCUGCUCUGCCUGCGGGGCGGGCUUAGCGCCGCGCUGAAGCCGAGGAAGAGGACCGUCUAAGCCACCCUCUGCUGCGUAUUCCUUCACGGCGACGAGCAAGACGCAUCCGAGGGUUCCCAGCGGGCAUGGGUGGAGGCCGCACAUGUCUUUAUUUCGCUGCUAUACCAUUUCUUUUUGCCUUUUUUGUCCCAUUUUCAGCUGUCGCUCUUCUCUCCUUUGGGGAAGGGGGAAGGGGGGGGGCUGUUGCACGUUGAGAUGGCAACAGACGUUCGUAUCGCUGUCGGAGCGCUUUCAACAGAAGCGGCUCGUCCUCCCCCCCAAAAAAAGAAACGACAGAAAAAAAGGUCAACGUGUUUUUUUUUUGGUGUUCUUAGCGUCGUUCUCAUUCGUCGCCGGAACGCAUCCUGUGCGGCGGGCCCUUUCUCAGCCUUGCGCCCCUCGCCUGCCUGGCAUUGCACGACAACCGCAUGCAAGACUAGAUUAUAGUGCGGGGAUGUCUUUCUUUGGGGGAGGGAGGGGGCUCCCCCUGCUGUUUAUACCUUCAUGACUGCUACAGUUGCUCAGAAAGAACACAGAAGGCAGUAAACAACUGCGCUCAGCGACCUCGAGCAUGUAACCUAAAAAAAAGAAAGAAAGAUGAACGCGCUUGCAAACGGAGGCCGCAUGCUCCGUAGAUCACCUCAGGAGCACGUUUGCGUGUGUGCCAAGGACGCUCUACGUGACGUCAAGCGGCGACAUGCUUCCCUUCGCUCGAUCUUUGUACUCUCUGUGCGUCCUGUUUCGCACCCUCGGCCGUGGCGGCAUCCUUAUCUUCUCACAUCAGCAGCGUCAACGUUCCACACAGUCCUUGUCUCUUUUCACGCUCAACGUGGUUUUCUUUUUCAG